This 375-nucleotide ribosomal RNA is filed under the name uncultured eukaryote. Its description in RNAcentral is "SSU rRNA". It matches the Rfam family "Eukaryotic small subunit ribosomal RNA", at positions 587 to 972 of the family's 1831-position model. The record is from RNAcentral.
AGCUCCAAUAGCGUAUAUUUAAGUUGCUGCAGUUAAAAAGCUCGUAGUUGAAUUUCAGGAAUUUCUGUCAGGCUGAUUUUUCAUGUCCUGAUUUGGUUUCCUUAUUGCCGCGGGAUAAUAGAUGGUUUAAUUACUUUUGAAUUGUCGUGCGGUACUGUUACUGUGAGUAAAUUAGAGUGUUCAAUGCAGGCGGUUGCCGUGAAUACAUUAGCAUGGAAUAACAUGAUCAACUCUGGUCAAUCCUGUUGGCCUGUGACUUCAGAGUAAGUGGUUAAGAGGGACAGUCGGGGGCAUUCGUAUUUCGUAGUCAGAGGUGAAAUUCUUGGAUUUAUGAAAGACGAACUUCUGCGAAAGCAUUUGCCAAGGAUGUUUUCA